GGGGGCGACCUGGCUUCGACGUGGGUAGCAAAACUUCAGGUGCAUGCCGAGGACAGUACACCUCGUAAAUCCUACUGAAACAAGUAUUCGCAAACGACGAAAACUACUCAGUGGCCUUAGCAGCUUAAACCCUGCACCACUUCUCUGACUGUGUGUGCUUAUGCGCGCAGGUUCUUCGGAACACUCAGGGAUCAUAUUACAUAAGAUCGUGCCAGGGCUUCGUUCGGAGCUUAAAGCACUAAAUCCAAUCGAAAUCGCUGUUGAAGCUCUUGGCCCGACGGGUAGUCAACAGUUAAAUCAAAAGCGCGGGAUAAGCAUGUAGAGCUUGUAGCGGAGUGCUUGCGGACGCGGGUUCAAUUCCCGCCGCCUCCACCA
RNAcentral lists this transfer-messenger RNA (375 nucleotides) under Methylomonas paludis. Its description in RNAcentral is "Standard tmRNA". It matches the Rfam family "transfer-messenger RNA". Rfam says of the family: Bacterial tmRNA, also known as 10Sa RNA or SsrA, is named for its dual tRNA and mRNA-like properties. Lineage: Bacteria; Pseudomonadati; Pseudomonadota; Gammaproteobacteria; Methylococcales; Methylococcaceae. The record is from Rfam by way of RNAcentral.